AAGGGAUUGACAAAGGGAUUGCUUUUGAAUUGACCCCUGGUACUGAACUUGCAACUUUGUUAUGCAAAAAAUAUGUAAAACCGACACGUGAAUUUGGAAGAUGUUCUCCGCAUUAUCAACGACCGGGAAGUCACCAUUAUAGAUCUUGCAUGAAGCCAUGAAGGCAAUGAACAGCGAAUUGGUCAAAGAUUUGACUUACCACUGCCAAAGACAUGUCGUAUGAUUUGACUUUAAAGGAGAUGAAAA
RNAcentral lists this long non-coding RNA (246 nucleotides) under Daphnia pulicaria. Its description in RNAcentral is "uncharacterized LOC124350381, transcript variant X1". Lineage: Eukaryota; Metazoa; Arthropoda; Branchiopoda; Diplostraca; Daphniidae. The record is from RNAcentral.